RNAcentral lists this ribosomal RNA (405 nucleotides) under uncultured bacterium. RNAcentral describes it as "partial 16S ribosomal RNA". It matches the Rfam family "Bacterial small subunit ribosomal RNA", at positions 28 to 526 of the family's 1533-position model. The record is from RNAcentral.
GAUGAACGCUGGCGGCGUGCCUAAUACAUGCAAGUCGAGCGGAGCGUGGACGGGUGAGUAACAUGUGGAUAACCUCCUAUAAGACUGGGAUAACUUCGUGAAACCGGUGGUUAAACGGAAUCUUAUAGAUGGAUCCGCGCGGCAUUAGCUAGGUGGAAGGGUAACGGCUUACCAAGGCAACGAUGCCUAGCCGACCUGAGAGGGUGAUCGGCCACACUGUAACUGAGACACGGUCCAGACUCCUGCGGUAGGCAGCAGUAGGGAAUCUUCCGCAAUGGGCGAAAGCCUGACGGAGCAACGCCGCGUGUGUGAUGAAGGCCUUCGGAUUGUAAAACUCUGUUAGUAGGGAAGCGGUAUCUAACCAGAAAGCCACGGCUAACUACGUGCCAGCAGCCGCGGUAAUAC